RNAcentral lists this long non-coding RNA (621 nucleotides) under Olea europaea subsp. europaea. Lineage: Eukaryota; Viridiplantae; Streptophyta; Magnoliopsida; Lamiales; Oleaceae. The record is from RNAcentral.
CUCGUUCUUUCCCAAAACUCUCUCCCAUCCGCCCAAAACUAAAUCAAAACCUACUCGUGCGCCACUGCCAGUGAUUGCACUGGCACCACCAAUUCCUAUUAUGCAAGCACCGCCAACUCCGCCUACUACCACAACCAGCAGUAUCUACAGUCCACCCACAUCAUCUCCACCUCCAGUUGUGUAACCCAGUGCUUGAUCGUGUCUCGCUACAGAACCUCCACUGUGCCGGGGACCACAGCAACUCAUUGAAAGUUCCAUUAAUCAUUUGAACAAUUUCUUCACUUCUUCGUUAGGAAUUAAAACCUCGCAUAGAGACUUGGCAUUGCAUGAAAUUUUGUCAAUGAACAUGGCUUUUACAGUCCUUUUCAGUAAGCAUACACUCUACGUGGGUGCCUGCAGCAUGUCCUUUGUGUCUCGCCCUUCGAUGCCUUAAAGUUAAUCUUGAUUUCUGCAAAAUUAAACGACAGUGAGCAAUCUCCGCUCCAUGAAAUGUCGACUUUAUAAACAUAUACAGGCAUCCCAUUUAGAUCAGCAAGCCUUGGAAAUAACAUCAAGUUCUGUCAAGUUGUGUCAAAAUGCCAAUCACUUAAUUACUUUCCCAUGUAACAGUGCACAACAAGA